UUUAGUAGUUGCGAGCAUUUCUCUAUAGCUAGUCCAACUCUACCGCUAAUAAGACAUGUUUUUUUCUGCAGCAGCAGUCGAUAUUUUUUCAACAUCAAACAUCGGCUGCGGUGAAAUUUAAACUCUGGACACUCAUCUAUAGUAAUAUACAUGAGGUAAGUUUAUUAUGAAUUUGAGGUUAAAGUUUCGAAGUGGCUAAGAAUAUACUUUGGGAAACACUUGAUUUGGAAAUACACGUGAUAAAACUUCAACCCACGCGAGGCUUUAUCACCUGUGUAUUUGGAUUACACAAUAGUAUACACAAUACACUAUAUAAGGAAUAUAACUGUUUCCAACGUCAUCGCAUAAUGUUCGUACAAAAGAGUAUUUUAGAAAAUCUAUAGUUUUGUGAAAAUCUAAGGAGUUGGCGAGUAAGAAGAUUUACAGAAUUGUGUAUAUCUAAAUAAGCUAUGUCAUCUAGAUAGUAAAAGAUGAUAUUAAUUUAAUUUUUGCAGUAGUUCUACACGCAAAGAAAAUACACCAACUAUAUUAAAGGACAAAUGGAAAAUAAUUAAUUACGUACUCGGUUUCUAUAAUUUAAUACUUUUUACACUAAAACUAUAAUUUUAUAAACUUUAUAAUUUGGUCAUAUGAAUUUUUUUUUUAUAAAACUUACUAUGAUUAAGUCUCAAAAAUUAAAACUAUCUGAAAAUGUUAUGAAAUUUAAUAUAAAUUUACCAAUAUUUACGGUUUUUACUUAUGUAAUUUUUAAAUUUUUAAUAUAGCUAGUAAAUUUAUAAUUUCUGUUAUUUACUGUUAAAAUUAUUUAUACAAAGUUUGGUUAGAUUUUUUAACUUUUUACAAACACUUAUAUACAUUGUGGUAGUCUUAGUUUUUCUUAAGUAUCGUUUUUAAAAAUUAAUUCAUAUUUUUUAGUAAUUAUAAUUAAUUCUUUACUAAAGCUUACGAAGGACCAACUUUUAAUUUAUAAAUGAUAUUUUGAGCACUACUUAUUGUUUUAAAAUUUAAAAAUAUCUGAGAUAUUGAGUUUGGAUUAAUCAUGAUUUAUUCAAAUCGUAUCCAAAUCAAACAGUACAAUGAUUAACUAAACAUUAAGUUAGACCAACAGAAACAAAUGAUUAUUAACGUUUAAAGUGUUGAGUGAUUUCUAAAACAAUUUUUAUCAUGUACUCAAAAUUAUAUUAAGAUAAUAAUAAUACACUUGAGUUGAUUACACAUAUAAUAUACUCACAGCUAUAUUGUAUUGUAAUGUCAAAGUUUAAAUAUAAAAUAUUAUUUGUAUAAAUUAGAGAUUAAAGAGAAUAAUAUCAUAUUAAUAUAUUAAAUUAUAGUUUUCUUUGUUAGGUUAAAAUAAUAAAAAUAAAAGUACUAAACCUUGAAACUUUUAAUUAUUUAUAAGUAUUAAAAGAAUAGAAUAGACAAUAUUUUUAUACUUUUAUGUACGUAUAAAUAGUAAGGUAUAUUAGCAUGAAUAUUUUUUUUCGAAUUUUUAAACAUACGAAUAAUUUGUUAUAAGGUAAGUACAAACAGGAUGCAGAAAUUAAAUAUUAAUCAGGUAUCAGUUAUCAAUAGUAAUUUUCGAAUCUUUCAUCUUGUAAAACUGUGCAUUUUAAAUUGUUACAAUAAUUAUGUAUUAUUGUAAAUAUUAAUAAAUUAUUGCUUUCUAACAAAUUUAGUAAUAUUAAUUAUUAACAUAGUUUUUUUUUUAGUGUUUAAGUGCUCGUAAAAAUGAUUAUGAAUAUAUAUUUGAAAAAUGUA
This is a long non-coding RNA of Rhopalosiphum padi (bird cherry-oat aphid), 1758 nucleotides long. RefSeq lists it as uncharacterized. Lineage: Eukaryota; Metazoa; Arthropoda; Insecta; Hemiptera; Aphididae. The record is from RefSeq and is a predicted model, not a curated record. The transcript has 4 exons.